RNAcentral lists this transfer RNA (82 nucleotides) under Ixodes scapularis (black-legged tick). RNAcentral describes it as "tRNA-Ser". It matches the Rfam family "tRNA". From Rfam's summary of the family: Transfer RNA (tRNA) molecules are approximately 80 nucleotides in length. Their secondary structure includes four short double-helical elements and three loops (D, anti-codon, and T loops). Lineage: Eukaryota; Metazoa; Arthropoda; Arachnida; Ixodida; Ixodidae. The record is from Rfam by way of RNAcentral.
GCAGUCGUGGCCGAGCGGUUAAGGCGAUGGACUCGAAAUCCAUUGGGGUCUCCCCGCACAGGUUCGAAUCCUGUCGACUGCG